Molecule: non-coding RNA, 74 nt
Organism: Podarcis lilfordi (Lilford's wall lizard)
Lineage: Eukaryota; Metazoa; Chordata; Lepidosauria; Squamata; Lacertidae
Source: the annotation of a GenBank genome assembly
GCUUGGAUAGCUCAGUUGGUUAGUGCAUGGUGCUGAUAAUCCCAAGGUUGCAGGUUCCAUCCCCGUAUGGGACA